RNAcentral lists this long non-coding RNA (209 nucleotides) under Linum usitatissimum (flax). RNAcentral describes it as "long non-coding RNA (LUSI_LNC000114)". Lineage: Eukaryota; Viridiplantae; Streptophyta; Magnoliopsida; Malpighiales; Linaceae. The record is from RNAcentral.
AGAUAGCCAAACAAUAGCAUCGCAAGAUAACCAGGAGCAUCAAAAUCGACAAGAUAUCAAAAUUCGAGCAGAGACGGAAACGUAUGUACGGCAUACCUUUCAAAGAGGGACGAGCUUGAACAGAAGGAUUAGAGCUGCAAGAAACAUGAACAGGAACGUAACAAGGAUCGCCAGCUCCACCGAUCCACACAGUUGAAUCUGGCUGCUCC